RNAcentral lists this small nuclear RNA (193 nucleotides) under Colletotrichum sublineola. Its description in RNAcentral is "U2 spliceosomal RNA". It matches the Rfam family "U2 spliceosomal RNA". Rfam says of the family: U2 is a small nuclear RNA (snRNA) component of the spliceosome (involved in pre-mRNA splicing). Complementary binding between U2 snRNA (in an area lying towards the 5' end but 3' to hairpin I) and the branchpoint sequence (BPS) of the intron results the bulging out of an unpaired adenosine, on the BPS, which initiates a nucleophilic attack at the intronic 5' splice site, thus starting the first of two transesterification reactions that mediate splicing. Lineage: Eukaryota; Fungi; Ascomycota; Sordariomycetes; Glomerellales; Glomerellaceae. The record is from Rfam by way of RNAcentral.
AGCUCUUCUUUGCCUUUUGGCUUAGAUCAAGUGUAGUAUCUGUUCUUUUCAGUUUAAUCUCUGAAAGAUGCCUAUUGGUAUCAAUCGUGAUUAUUCCUAUUUUUGAUCCCCGAGGUCGUGCUUCUACGGCUUGCCGCACGCCGACUUCAUCGUGUCCCUGGUAUUUCACUGCCUCCAGGUGACGCAAACUGUG